AGGAGCUUGCUCUUUUUGGAUGAGUUGCGAACGGGUGAGUAACGCGUAGGUAACCUGCCUUGUAGUGGGGGAUAACUAUUGGAAACGAUAGCUAAUACCGCAUAACAAUGACUAACACAUGUUAGUUAUUUAAAAGGGGCAACUGCUCCACUACAAGAUGGACCUGCGUUGUAUUAGCUAGUUGGUGAGGUAACGGCUCACCAAGGCGACGAUACAUAGCCGACCUGAGAGGGUGAUCGGCCACACUGGGACUGAGACACGGCCCAGACUCCUACGGGAGGCAGCAGUAGGGAAUCUUCGGCAAUGGGGGCAACCCUGACCGAGCAAUGCCGCGUGAGUGAAGAAGGUUUUCGGAUCGUAAAGCUCUGUUGUAAGAGAAGAACGAGUGUGAGAGUGGAAAGUUCACACUGUGACGGUAUCUUACCAGAAAGGGACGGCUAACUACGUGCCAGCAGCCGCGGUAAUACGUAGGUCCCAAGCGUUGUCCGGAUUUAUUGGGCGUAAAGCGAGCGCAGGCGGUUUGAUAAGUCUGAAGUUAAAGGCUGUGGCUCAACCAUAGUUCGCUUUGGAAACUGUCAAACUUGAGUGCAGAAGGGGAGAGUGGAAUUCCAUGUGUAGCGGUGAAAUGCGUAGAUAUAUGGAGGAACACCGGUGGCGAAAGCGGCUCUCUGGUCUGUAACUGACGCUGAGGCUCGAAAGCGUGGGGAGCGAACAGGAUUAGAUACCCUGGUAGUCCACGCCGUAAACGAUGAGUGCUAGGUGUUGGGUCCUUUCCGGGAUUCAGUGCCGCAGCUAACGCAUUAAGCACUCCGCCUGGGGAGUACGACCGCAAGGUUGAAACUCAAAGGAAUUGACGGGGGCCCGCACAAGCGGUGGAGCAUGUGGUUU
Molecule: ribosomal RNA, 888 nt
Filed under: uncultured Streptococcus sp.
Lineage: Bacteria; Bacillati; Bacillota; Bacilli; Lactobacillales; Streptococcaceae
Description: bacterial SSU rRNA
Rfam family: Bacterial small subunit ribosomal RNA
Source: RNAcentral